This 1336-nucleotide long non-coding RNA is filed under the name Mytilus galloprovincialis (Mediterranean mussel). Lineage: Eukaryota; Metazoa; Mollusca; Bivalvia; Mytilida; Mytilidae. The record is from RNAcentral.
GCAGAUUUGUCAGUUGCAUUGUUGCACGACUUUCCAAGGGCAGUACAACAACAUAAUAACUGGACAUACGGACGAUUUUUAUGUGUGUGCUUCAUGUAUACACAAGAUGUCGCUCUAUUUGCUUCGACAUUUUUAUUAGUAUCACUGAGUGUUGACCGACUUGUAGCAUUAACUCGUCCACUAUGGUCAGGUCGACAGAAGGUUUUAACAAGAUCCUGCAUGGUAUUAAUUCCUUGGAUAACAGCAAUUUAUCUCAGUACACCAUACUUGAAAAGUGGACUUUUUCCCUAUCUUGGACAAAUAUGGUGCACUCCUUUCUUUGCCGGGUUGUAUGGCAAGGUUUGUACAUUUCAUGAUGCAAUUAUUGUGUUAAAUGUCAAAAUUAAGGUCCAACUAUAUAUACUAUAUGUCUAGACUGUCAAAGUUACGGUUGUGAAUUCAAAUACCUCACAUGGAAGGUUCAAUCAAGUCCGAUUUUGACAAAGAUUGUCCGUCUUCCAAAACACUGUAAGGACAUUGUUAACAAAAACCAAUAAAAAGAAGGCAGAACUUCAUAGUAUCAUUCGAACAAAUAUUAAUCAAUUCACCGUUUCAGAAUCUAAUACAUCCUGGUAACAUUUUCAAAAGUGGACAGCAGAACGUCGUGUUUGGUUUAACAUGUCAUAAACAAUGAAAAUUCAACCAUUGACGUGACGUAAUUUUCAUUUUGGUGAAACGAACAAUGAAAUAACCCAUGAUUCUUUAGAUUCUGAAACGGUAAAGGUGUUAUUUCGUGCAUAUGAUAACCAAUACACGAAAAAUGUAAUAUAUAUGCAGCGCUGAUUUUUUCUAAUCACUGGCAUACUAAAAUUUGUUGAGAAAGUUGAUGAGUAUCAAAUGAUAUUAGACAUAUUGAUUUUCAAAUUCUGAUAAUUUUCACAACUUUCAGAUUUUCACCACAUGAGUGAUACAAAUACGAGGAAAUUAAGUUUACAUCUUUCUUUGAAUGCAAAAUAUGCUUUGUUAACGAAAUGUCGUACUUCACAACUUAUUCUUACUUUUUAUAAUUCGCUUAUCAAGUUGAAUCUGGGUAAGAAUCAGACAGUGGAAACAACAUGAUAAAAAACAACACUCUGGUGAACUUUCAUUUAAGUUCAAAUUGUAUGCAGGUCCGCAAACUUAAUAUUCGUUUUCUUCUCUCGUAUUUACAGACAUAUUUUGGUUGCAAUAUUUGUUGUUGUAGAUAUGGCUGCCAAUACAUUCGGCUUUGUUAGUGAUAAUUCCAGGUGUUGCUAUGAUUACGAUUUACGGGUAUAUUGCAUAUAUCAUUUGGGUCAGAAAGAACAAAGGUUACAUA